This is a long non-coding RNA of Daphnia magna, 1762 nucleotides long. RefSeq lists it as uncharacterized. The transcript is spliced from 3 exons. NCBI's taxonomy places the organism in Eukaryota, Metazoa, Arthropoda, Branchiopoda, Diplostraca, Daphniidae. The record is from RefSeq and is a predicted model, not a curated record.
UCUGUGAAGAUAAAAAAAAAGAAAAGAAAAAAAAAUUUAUAUGUAGUAAAAUAGAGAAAUUAGGCCAUCUUUCCUCAUUAAUAUCAACAAGGAAGCGGCGUGUUGCUCCGUCGGGUUGGAUGUCGGAUUUUAAACGAGAAAAAAAAAAAAAAAAAAACCUUUUUUUCCCCCUUUAUUUUAUUUUUAGGUCAUGUCUCUUUGAAAGAUGAAAUUCCAGUCGACAUGGGGGAUAAUCAUCAAGAGGCUGACUUUACGUGUGUGUUAUCAACCUAAAAACAGGUGUCUGUCUCACCACACCGGUUUGCAGAAAUGCGCAACCUGAACCUUCAACUGAAGCAGCGAUGCCGAAAAAUGUAGUGGGUUCAAUGUCAGGACAUACAAUACGAUACACGAUAAGCUUCAGAAUGACAAGAAUAAGGAGGUUAGUCCAUAGACCCCUUGCUUAGCAUAUCUAACGAGUGGAUGUGAAAACCGCACUAGUAGUCUAUUAAUUCCCUGGAGAAUAAGGAGGAAACGAGGUGUGUACCUGGGAAGACGUCUUUAGUUUCGGCGAAAGCCGGAUGAAUCCAGCCGUUGCGUGGCUGGAUAAUGCACUGAAACAUGCUGGGGGAUUAUCGGCUACGCUGAACAAAUGAGGACGAGAACAAAACGACAAAAUCCGGUGAACAUUCGGUGGUGAAAGAACAACCGGUCGCUGCUAACAGACAGGCACAACUGUCUGGAUGAAUGAGAGAACAUAUGGAACUAGUUCCCAUCCGCCAUCAUCCUCGGCAUUCCGCCAACGACGGAUAGGGGGAGAAAAUCUACACCCACAUCUGGCGAGUACAAGGGGGAGAAUGUUACAACCCCUCUGGUUCUUCUUAUUCGUUUUUUUUUGUCUUCUUCCGAAAAAAAAAAAUGGCAAACUGUCUAGCCAAAGGGAGAAUAUAUUUGACUACAUAAAGACCCCCCCCCCUUUCGUCUACAACACCCAGCGUCUUCGGCAUGAGAUCGUGGCGCAAGACGUUAGAUAAAGGCAUCACUUAAAAAAUCCAAGAAAUAUAGCCCACAGUUCUUGGGACAAAUCUUUCGAGCACUUCCAAAAGUGGGCAGGUCUCGUUUAUCAACGUCCACGUGACCCUCGGUUAAGAGGACCAGUCAACAAUUUCAUGGAAAAUGGCAUCUGGUCCUCUGCGCAGCUGCCAUUUAACACCAAUGUCCAGCAACAAAAGAUUGUCAAAUCAAGCAAAAAGACAAGACAAAAAAAAAAUCCCACCAAAAUAAAUAAAUUAUUAUUUACAGUAUUUAAUGAGGGCACACAAAAAAUGGGACAAUUUUCCAUUUCCCUUUCCGGUUUUGACCAGAAUGCGUUGUCGUGAGAGCAUCAUCAUCACGACGAUCCAAACAGUCGGAUUUUCAAUGAUUCCUGGCGUCGUUACACGGUAACGGAUAAUCUGUUUUUAUUUUGCUAUUGUGACGACGAAAACAUGUGAUAACGACCAUCACCUUGAGAGUGUCUUGCAGACCGUGAUAAGGAAGGGGAAGAAAAAAAAAACAGCAACCAAAUGCUUCCGGUGGCUUCCGACCGCAGAAGGCCCUUCUACCUUAUUGCGUCUUCUAGCAUACUUCUGAGUUCGACUCAUUUCCUAUACGUACGAGUUUCGCAGUUCCACCGUUUUUAGGACAGAGCCUUUGUAGGGGGGUGGCCGGGAUGAUUGAAAAUUUGUUUUAAAAAAUGGGAACACAUUCGACAAUUUGCAAAAAUACACCGAAUACAAAUGUC